CUCUAAAGAUCCAAUACCCCAAACUUACUAAACAGUCUCAUCACUGUUUAUUAAUACAUUAUGUACAAAAAAAAUAAAAAAAAAUAAAAAACAAUGAAAAACAAAAUAUUCUCCUUGCAUGGUGCCUACAUAACCUACUUCAAAAAUAGGUAACUAGAAUUUUGCACUGAGAAUUGUUCUAGUACAAAGCAGAUAUCAUCAACAUCGACAGGCAUAUUAGCUGGAUCUCAAUUAAGAAUUCACAAGUGUUAGUUACACAAUUAUAAAUUAAGAGAGAAAGGUGCAAAGAAAAAAAAAUAAUUAAUAAAUAAAUAAAAAUAAAUGAAUAAAAAAAUAUAAAAUUCUAUCAAAUAAAAAAAUAAAUAUUAAAAUAAAAAAUUAUAUUAUCUGUCUAAUACCAUCUAUAUUGAGUUGCCUCCUCAUCAACGCUUUGUUUAUAGUCGUUAGUUCGACUUUGCAGUAAAUGGGGAGCUAUGGUAGAUCUUGAUGUCUUAAAAUUCUCUUCCAAAUAUACAUAUCUUUUUUCAGUUUCUCCUAUCUUGCCCCAUCCUCUUUUUUAUCAUCAUCUUCAUUUGAUUUGGCUGUUUCCUUGACAUCAAGAUUUUUUUCUAUCUUGGUGAGCUUUUUGGACACAUACUCAUUAAUUAUAAGUAUUAAAACAUUCAUCAGUGUCCAAAGGAAUUUUGUGGCAUGAAAAACGUGAAAAGUUACUUAUUGUCUCCAACUUGUAAUGUUGACUUACUAUCCUACGCAUCAAUUAAUGUUCUACCAGUUGCGAGGAAGAGUCUCCCAAAUAUGAGUGAAACUUCUUUAUCAACUUCCAUGUCCAUAACUAUGAAGUUAACUGGGAAUAUAAAGCUCUCCACCUGUAUCAGCACAUCUUUUACUAUUCUCAAAGGGUAUUUUGCCGAUUUAUCCACCAACUAUAAUGACACUAUUGUGGGCUUCACUUUGUUAAUACCUAACUUUUUAAAUACAUAAUAAAACACUAAGUUAAUACUAACAUCAAGAUCACAUAGAGCAUUCUUAAAAUCAAAAUUGUCAAUUUUGCAUGGUAUAAUAAAACUUCCUAAAUCUUUCACUUUAGGCGGUAACUUAUUUUUAAUGAUGAUAUUGCACACCUCUUGGAGCAUAAUAGUCUCAUGAUUUUUCAAACUCCUCUUCUUUGUUAGAAUCACCUUAAGAAACUUCACAUACUUUUACAUUUGAGUAAGAGCCUCUCCAAAAGGAACAUUUAUGUGAAGUUUCUUAAAUAUAUCAAGAAAUUUAAGGAUAUUCUUAUCUUUAUUAUACUUUUGAGGCAUUAUGGAAAUGGAACAGGUGGCACAUGGGCUUGAACACUACUUGUUUUUUUCUCUUCUUAUUACUCUACCUUUUCUUUUUCAAUAUUUUUCUCUUUGGUUCCUUCAUCCAUUCUUGCAUCUGUCAAUUAUUUACGCUUCUCAAGGUGAUUGUCAUAACAUGUUUUUUUGGAUUUGUCUCGGUGUUACCCAACAAGGUACCUUGAGCUCUACCAUUAAUCAUGUUUGCCAGUUGACCCACUUGGAUUUCCAGUAUUUUGAUUGACGCUUGCUAGCUUUGCAACAUUAAUUGUUGAUUCUAAAUGAUUAUUUCAGUCUUUGUUGUAAAACUCUAUUGUGUUCUUAUGAAUGAUUGCAACCAUCUCUUCAAGUAAGGGCUUCUUUUCUUGAGGUUAAAAUUAUGGGGGAGGCCCGGUCACAUUCUAUUGAUUCUUACAUGAAAAUUUUGGAUGAUUUCUCAAUCCAAGAUUAUAUGCAUUGGAGUAUGGCUUAUAUGGUGGCAUGCCCUGUCCAACUACAAAACUCAUUUGUUUUGCUUCAUAUCCUUAAAAAGGAUCUUUAAAUAAACCUUUUGUAUGAGAAUUAACAAUAUUAACACUCUUUUGAUCAAUUUUCUUAAAUAAAGAGUCACUUUUUGCAUUAAAAGUAGUUAAAACAUCAAUUUUAUAUAAUCCAACAUUCAUUUUAGGGUGACGUCUUUCUAUGGCCAUUGAUAGUUAUUGAUGGUCAUCUCUUCUAAGAGCUCAUAAGCAUCACCUGUGGACUUCCCCGCGAAAGCACCUCUACUAGCUGCAUUAAUUGUGAUCCUAGUUUGUUGGUUCAAUCUGGUAUAAAAUGUUUGAACCAACAACUACUUAGGCAACCCAUAAUGAGGACAACUUCUAAUCAAUUUCUUAAAUCGCUCUCAUGCCUUAUACAACAUCUCUCCAUCCAUUUGAUAAAAACUAGUGAUGUUGUUUCUUAUCCUUACCAUCUUAACUGGUGGGAAAAACUUAGCUAAAAAUUUUUGAGAUAGGUAUUCCCAUAUAAUAAUUAUAUCUAUAGGACGAAAAUGUAAUUAACUUUUAAUUUUAUCUCAUAAAAAAAAAAUGAGUCCAAGUCUAAUUGUUUCACUGGAAACACCAUUCUGUUUAAUAGUAUCACAAAUUUAUAAAAAGUUAGAUCUAUGGGCAUUAGGAUCAUCAUUUGGUAAAUCCCUCAAAUUGAAUUGUGGUUUGGAUCAUUUGAAUGAUGGCGAGUUUAAUCUCAAAGUUGUUAGCAUUGAUACUCGAUCGAACAAUACUGGAUGAAGCUCCUAUAAAUGAAGAGGUAGCAAAACCCCUAAAUGCUCUCGUAUUAUUCUCAUCCAAAACAUCUCAAAGUCGCCAAUUUUCUUCGUUUUUAACAAUCUUUAAUCUUACUCACCCUUCUGCUGCUAAUUGUUUCCUUCUAUCUCAAUUUAAUUGUCUACAAAUCUUUUCGAUCUUUGGAUUUAUAGGAAGUAAUUCUACACUGUUCAAUUGGCUCAUAUGCCAAUUGAUAUAAAAAAAAUAGUGUGAUCUGCUCACAAAAAAAAAAUAAAAUAAAAUAAUAAACUUAAAUUAAGAAUAAUAAAUAAAAUAAAAACUAAAAAGCAAGUAAACUAGAAACAAGAAAAUAAACUUUAGAUUAAUAAUAAAACCUUAGUAUUGAUAUUGAUACUAAUAAUCCCUGGCAACGACGCCAAAAACUUGAUAGACGAAUUCACAAAUACAUGAAAUCGUUCAAGUAAUAAAGUAAUAAGUAGAGUAUCGUCCCAUAAGAAUUGUGUAUCAAGUAUCAAAAUUAUACACAUUCUACUAUUAUCUAGAAAUUAAAAUUAAAUUUAUGAAAUAAGAAAUUAAAAUAAUUUAAUUAAAGUAAAAUAAUUAAAUUCAUAAAAACUAUCAACAAAAACGCACCAGAAUAAUAGAUUUCACUUGAAACUUGAAUAAAUUCUAAUUUUAAUUUCGCAAUCGACUUAAUUUAGUGCGUAAUAGUCAAAUUAUCCUAAUAUACUUUUGUUUUCCUUUCUUAUAUUACUUAGGUCUAUUAAUUAAUAAUUGCUAACCUUCGUAACAAUUAUUAAUUUGAUUUAGUUAAAUUUAUGAUAAUUCGAGUCUUUCACAUUAACUUGACUAUAAUACUUCAGUUCAAGUCUAAAUUAAUAUAUAAUAAUAUAUGCCUAAUUAAUUUAAUCUCACUCCGGUCACUCUAAAACUAUCAAUCACAAAUUAAACCAUGAGUUGAUCAAUUCUCACAAUUGUAUUAAGUUUAAUAUUGUUGAACUACAAACAGAAAAAAGCUAAAAAUUAAUCUUAAAACUUACAUUUGAUUCAUAUUACAUCAAUCACUUCGGCAAAAAAAGUUUCACGGCGCAUGUGGAUUGAGAAAUAGUAAUUAUAUUUGAAAAAAUAAUAAUAAUGUAAUAUUUAACAAAUAAAUUCUCAACAAUUCAAAAUAUUAGCAUUCAAGUGUCAUAAAAAUUUCUCAGACUUUUAUCCCAGAACAAUGUAGAUUGAAAACUAAAAAAAUAAAUAAAUUACCUUAAUAUCUUUUGUGGUUUCUCCCUCUACGCCCCAUGCGAUUGCUUCUGCUUCAACUUCCCCGUUGUCAAUCGGUUCACUCUGGUUCUGCCUUCCACCAUAUCGUUUUGAGUCGCACUUAGCUUCUACGUCACUACCACUCGUUCCUCCAGUUCCCUCUUCUGCCAAACUUCUUCUCUUUAACUCUCGUCUCUCUGUCUAUAAUCAUAUAUCUCUUUCUUCUAUUUUCUUCUAUUGGAUAUCCUUUUAUAGGCGG
RNAcentral lists this long non-coding RNA (4100 nucleotides) under Carica papaya (papaya). RNAcentral's name for it is "long non-coding RNA (CPAP_LNC011734)". The stretch from base 2162 to 2268 matches the Rfam family "Plant small nucleolar RNA R71". Lineage: Eukaryota; Viridiplantae; Streptophyta; Magnoliopsida; Brassicales; Caricaceae. The record is from RNAcentral.